AGCGGAUUAGUGUAAUAGAAACAUUUUUGACUCAUGAUCAGAAGAUAUAGGUGCGAUUCCUUUAUCCGCAU
This 71-nucleotide transfer RNA is filed under the name Ceratocystiopsis pallidobrunnea. Its description in RNAcentral is "tRNA-Met". It matches the Rfam family "tRNA". From Rfam's summary of the family: Transfer RNA (tRNA) molecules are approximately 80 nucleotides in length. Their secondary structure includes four short double-helical elements and three loops (D, anti-codon, and T loops). The record is from RNAcentral. Lineage: Eukaryota; Fungi; Ascomycota; Sordariomycetes; Ophiostomatales; Ophiostomataceae.